AUACUUACAUGGCAGGGGAGUUAUGAUCACAAAAGUGGUUUUCUCAAGGUAAGGCUCAUCCACUGCACUCUGAAUGUCUUGACCCCUGUGAUUUCCCCCAAACGUGGGAAAUUUGACUGCAUGAUUUGUGGUAGUAGGAGACUGCCAUUAUACUUCCCCCUG
This 162-nucleotide small nuclear RNA is filed under the name Vulpes vulpes (red fox). RNAcentral describes it as "U1 spliceosomal RNA (ENSVVUG00000022149.1)". It matches the Rfam family "U1 spliceosomal RNA". From Rfam's summary of the family: U1 is a small nuclear RNA (snRNA) component of the spliceosome (involved in pre-mRNA splicing). Its 5' end forms complementary base pairs with the 5' splice junction, thus defining the 5' donor site of an intron. Lineage: Eukaryota; Metazoa; Chordata; Mammalia; Carnivora; Canidae. The record is from Rfam by way of RNAcentral.